Molecule: long non-coding RNA, 613 nt
Organism: Felis catus (domestic cat)
Lineage: Eukaryota; Metazoa; Chordata; Mammalia; Carnivora; Felidae
Exons: 2
Source: RefSeq, a predicted model, not a curated record
GAGAAAGCUGGUGAUUUUACUCCCGCUUGUGGAUGAUCCUGGAUGGACAAGGCCAGUUCCUUGAGUCGGAAACUUAAAGGACAAUUCCAGUGCCCACAUUUCUUGUUCCGCCUCUCUUUAGAGAUACUCAUACAUCCUGGCGAACCCUUUUCACAAAGCAACAAUGCCAUGAACACAGGAAGUAUGUCAACUUUUAUCUCCGGGCCGACUCAGGGAAAGAAGCCUGCAGCAGACUGGGAAUUUAACUUCCUAUAAAGGUCUUAGGAUCAUCACAACUGAUGCAGGGAAAGCAUUUUAUUAAAUUCAACGUUCACUUGGAGUGAAGACUUUUAGACAACUAGGAAUAGAAGGGUACUUCUUUAAUUUACAGGAAAACCUUCCACAAAUGUAACUGGUAAAGUGCUGAAAAGUUUCUCACUGAAACUGAGAAAGAGGCAAGGACGUUCGCUGUGGCCGCUUCCAAGGAACAUCACACUAAAGGUCCUAGGCGGUACCGGGAAGUGAGAAUGAAAAGAAAGUCUAAGGAUUGAACAGGAACAGAAACUGUUGUAAUUCACAGACUGUAUGAUUAUGCAGGCAGAGAAAUUAUUAAAAUAUGGAACUUCAGCAAGUU